UACAGGGGGGGCAAGCGUUGUUCGGAAUUACUGGGCGUAAAGGGCUCGUAGGCGGCCAACUAAGUCGGAUGUGAAAUCCCCAGGCUUAACCUGGGAACUGCAUCCGAUACUGGAUGGCUUGAAUCCGGGAGAGGGAUGCGGAAUUCCAGGUGUAGCGGUGAAAUGCGUAGAUAUCUGGAGGAACACCGGUGGCGAAGGCGGCAUCCUGGACCGGCAUUGACGCUGAGGAGCGAAAGCCAGGGGAGCAAACGGG
RNAcentral lists this ribosomal RNA (253 nucleotides) under uncultured bacterium. Its description in RNAcentral is "partial 16S ribosomal RNA". It matches the Rfam family "Bacterial small subunit ribosomal RNA", at positions 524 to 776 of the family's 1533-position model. The record is from RNAcentral.